This 167-nucleotide microRNA precursor is filed under the name Oryza barthii. RNAcentral's name for it is "MIR812 microRNA precursor family". It matches the Rfam family "MIR812 microRNA precursor family", at positions 27 to 193 of the family's 205-position model. Lineage: Eukaryota; Viridiplantae; Streptophyta; Magnoliopsida; Poales; Poaceae. The record is from Rfam by way of RNAcentral.
UCUAACUUUCUGUGCCAACGUUAUAUGAAAUUUUUUUAUAAUUAGUAUUUUUAUUAUUGUUACAUAAUAAAAUAUGAUUAAUACUUUAUGCAUGACUUAUCUUUUUAAUUUUUUUCAUAAUUUUUUAAAUAAGACGGACGGUUAAAUGUUGGACACAGAAACUAGGG